AUUGAACGCUGGCGGCAUGCCUUACACAUGCAAGUCGAACGGUAACGGGCCUUCGGGUGCCGACGAGUGGCGAACGGGUGAGUAAUACAUCGGAACGUGCCCGAUCGUGGGGGAUAACGAGGCGAAAGCUUUGCUAAUACCGCAUACGAUCUACGGAUGAAAGCAGGGGACCGCAGGGCCUUGCGCGGACGGAGCGGCCGAUGGCAGAUUAGGUAGUUGGUGGGAUAAAAGCUUACCAAGCCGACGAUCUGUAGCUGGUCUGAGAGGAUGAUCAGCCACACUGGGACUGAGACACGGCCCAGACCCCUACGGGAGGCAGCAGUGGGGAAUUUUGGACAAUGGGCGCAAGCCUGAUCCAGCCAUGCCGCGUGCAGGAUGAAGGCCUUCGGGUUGUAAACUGCUUUUGUACGGAACGAAAAGCCUUCUUUUAAUACAGGAGGGUCAUGACGGUACCGUAAGAAUAAGCACCGGCUAACUACGUG
Molecule: ribosomal RNA, 482 nt
Filed under: uncultured bacterium
Lineage: Bacteria
Description: partial 16S ribosomal RNA
Rfam family: Bacterial small subunit ribosomal RNA
Source: RNAcentral